Homo sapiens (human) is the source of this 886-nucleotide long non-coding RNA. The record is from Ensembl. NCBI's taxonomy places the organism in Eukaryota, Metazoa, Chordata, Mammalia, Primates, Hominidae.
CAGGGCCAGUAAGGAGCAGGGCCGGGACUGGAACAUGGAGGGUCUGACCAGAGGCCCAGGUGCCUCUCCCCUGCCAGGCUGCCUCUCCUCUGGGUCUUGGUGUCUCCAUCUGUAAGAGCUCCUGCUGCUCCUUCCUGCUGAGCAAACCCACCAGAAGCCAGAGGCCAGGGAGCUCGUGUGAGGCAUCAGUCCACAGAGCAGAGGCAGAGAACGCAGCUGCAGGGCCGGCGGAGAGGACCUAGUCCUGGCAGGUGGGGCUGGGAGGGCAGAAGCUCUGCAGAUCUGUGGGAAGAGCCUGGAAGCCAGAGUCAGCUGUCUUGUGUCACACCUACUGUGUGCCACAGGAUGCGCCGCUUCUCCUCCCAAGCCUUGGUUUCCUCAUCUGUCCUCUGGGGCAGCCGACGGCUCCCCCUAGGAGUGCAGAGAAGCCGCCAUGGGUCAAUGUAGGGGAUGCAAUGGAUAUCUCUGUCAUUCAUCUUUCUGGACAUGUGGAAGUGUAUCUGUUGAAUUAAUUCCUGGAAGCUGAAUGCCUGGGUCACAGGUCUAACUGUGAGAAAAGCGCGGGACAAAUCCGAAUUGAAGGACAGUCUCCUCAAAACUGUCAAGGUCAUCAAAGACAAGGAAAGUCUGAGAAACUGUCACAACCAAGAGGAGCCUAGGGAGACACACCGACUGAAUGCAAUGUGGGGUCCUAGAUGGGGUCCCGGCCCAGAAAAGGACGUUCGGGAAAACAAAGGAAAUCUGAAUCAUCUAUGGACUUCAGUUCAUGACUGACAUAGGUUCAGUUCAUGGACUGACAUAGGUUCAAUAAUUGUAACAAAUAUACCCACACUCAGGUAAGAUGCUAAUAUUAGGGGAAACAGUAUACAUAAACUCUAUACAAACU